CAGUCGCCACGGUAAUACGUAGGUGGCAAGCGUUGUCCGGAAUUAUUGGGCGUAAAGGGCUCGCAGGCGGUUUCUUAAGUCCGAUGUGAAAGCCCCCGGCUCAACUGGGGAGGGUCAUUGGAAACUGGGAAACUUGAGUGCAGAAGAGGAGAGUGGAAUUCCACGUGUAGCGGUGAAAUGCGUAGAGAUGUGGAGGAACACCAGUGGCGAAGGCGACUCUCUGGUCUGUAACUGACGCUGAGGAGCGAAAGCGUGGGGAGCGAACAGGAUUAGAUACCCCUGUAGUCCCUGUCUCUUAUAA
Molecule: ribosomal RNA, 301 nt
Filed under: uncultured bacterium
Lineage: Bacteria
Description: partial 16S ribosomal RNA
Rfam family: Bacterial small subunit ribosomal RNA
Source: RNAcentral